Molecule: long non-coding RNA, 1412 nt
Filed under: Amborella trichopoda
Lineage: Eukaryota; Viridiplantae; Streptophyta; Magnoliopsida; Amborellales; Amborellaceae
Description: long non-coding RNA (ATRI_LNC001582)
Source: RNAcentral
AAAAAAAAAGGACAUCAAAUUCAUUUUCAUUAAAGCCAAAGUAGAAUGAUUGUCAAUAUAGGGGUAAAAGGAGGAAGCAGUACAGUACUGUAAUUUCAAUAGGUAACUAAAGCAUUGGUAUCUAUCAGACAGUCAACUCAUGUACAAUGAAAAACACCGGUCAUGCGAAACCACCCAUGACCUCUAGGAACCGUUUCAUUCGCUGCAGAAAACCGCCAUUAAAACCACAGGCAGAGCUUUUCUGUACACAAGAAUAAUAAAUUAAACAACUCCAUAAAUCCUCCCCAUUUCUUUAAAAAGACAAAAAAAAAAAGGAAUCCUCGCACCAAGAUUGAGAGAGAAGAGUUUCCAAAGAAACCAGAAGCCAUUAAAGGGCGAAGUUGGUUGUGUACAAAGAAGAGAAGAGAAAGAGAAAGAGAAGGACAUUCAAGAAUGUGUUGGGCCCUGCGAGACUACGAACGGUGGUGGAAGACUGACGGGAGGUCCCGCAGUCGUAAUCGGAAUGGGGUUGGAAAAUACAGGGGUGCUGCCACUCCCACUCCCACCAUUGUUGCCAUUGCCAUUGCCUUUUUGAUGACUGAAGCCAUGCUUGAAAAACCCCAACCCCAACACCACGCCUGUGACUACAAGAACUCCCACUAUGAGUAUGAAGAUCUUUGAAGCCUUGCCCACAUAACACAUUGUGCCCAAUUCCUCCCUCUCUCUCUCUCUCUCUCUCUCUCUCUCUCUCUCUCUCUCUCUCUACUACUACUACUACUCUACUCUCUCUACUACUACUACUACUCUCUCUCUCUCUACGUCUCGUCGUCGUCGUACGUACGUACGUACGUACGUAGUACGUNNNNNNNNNNNNNNNNNNNNACCGUCGUCGUACUAACAACGAACCUACCCUACUACUAGUAGUAGUAGAGUAUUCUUAGUACGUACGUCUCCACACUAACACUAUGUCACUACCUCCUCCUCUCUCUCUCUCUCUCUCUCUCUCUCUCUCUCUCUUCAACUGCCCAAAUGGACUCUCUCUUCACUGCCCAAAUGGACUCUCUCUCUCUCUCUUGUAAUGGGGCUUCGGGAUUAGGGCAAGAAGCUCCAAGUGAGGAGAACAUAAGGUAUUUUGAGUAAAGGAAAAUGGGGAAAGAGAGAGAGAAGAGAGAGCAAAAAAGAGAGAAGUUUUGUUUUUGCCCUGGUUAUUGAAAAAGGUGUCACCACGUGAAGGCAUGAACAUAAAAGUAAAGUUCCAAAAUAAGUAAAGUUUACCUGUUUCCUACGAGGGCCGCUGUCAAGUGGUGGGGAUAAAUUUGGGGAAGAGGAAUUUAGAGCCCAUGCUUUUUUUUUUGUGUUGCAGUUGUAACCCUAUUGUUUUCUCUUCUAUUUCCUGCAAUUAUUGAGUAAGGUAAGGGCAUUGUUGAAUUGGC